RNAcentral lists this long non-coding RNA (507 nucleotides) under Anas platyrhynchos platyrhynchos (common mallard). Its description in RNAcentral is "lncRNA (ENSAPLG00000025300.1)". The record is from RNAcentral. Lineage: Eukaryota; Metazoa; Chordata; Aves; Anseriformes; Anatidae.
AUGAGAAAUAUGAAUGUUGUCCCCUGCUCCACCGCAUGGUGCUUAUUUGAAGAUGCAGGGGUAGCUCCAGUAACCUCUGUUAGUAACAAGUCACCAGCUGAGCUGCACCGAUGGACCAGUACGUCCUGGCGAUCGUCCCUUGGACCGUUUGCUCCUUCGCAUUGUGCGGGUGGGACCUGGACGUGUACCUGUGCUACGUGCCUGCCCUUGGGUAGCCGAGCAGCUAAGGCAGCUCGGUACGUGGCAUGCCGUAAGCAGCUCCCCAGCAGUGCUGUCACUUGCAGAGAGGACCAGAGCUGGUGCACUGGGAACUCGCUGAGGGGAGGAUGGGGCCCUCAGGAAACCUCCCAGGACCAUCACCAAGGGCGAUGUCCUCCAGGAUGCCCUCUCCUAUGUUUUUCUUCCAGCCCACGUGAGCUUACAGCACGUGUUGUUUUGGCACUGGCUUUGAAGUAAAAUGGACCAGUGUUCUCUUCAGCCCUGAUUUUUUUCACACUUGUUGAAGGA